Long non-coding RNA from Oenanthe melanoleuca, 5672 nucleotides. RefSeq lists it as uncharacterized. The record is from RefSeq and is a predicted model, not a curated record. NCBI's taxonomy places the organism in Eukaryota, Metazoa, Chordata, Aves, Passeriformes, Muscicapidae. The transcript has 6 exons.
CGGCGGGCGCUCCGCGCCUUGCGCGGGCCCGCGGAGCUGUCCCUCAGCGCGGCUGCGGAGGGGCGGCGGCAGCACGGGCGCGCUUGCGGCGGAGCCCGGAGGCGGCGCUGACGGGACGGCGCGCGGAGGCGCUGCGGGCCGCGGCGGCCCGGCCGUGCCGAGCCCGGCUUCGCUGAGCCCGGCUUCGCUGAGCCCGGCUUCGCCGAGCCCGGCCCGGCCCGAGGAAGAAGUAGAAGUUUUAACCAUCUUCCCAUGGCAUCUGACUUUUUUGAAGAGGAGGACUUUCAGCCACUUGAUGGAAGGGAAAUAAGAGGUUUGUUUCAAGACUCUUAUGUCACUCAUCAGUUCUGUUAACAAACGUGGCGCUUGAUGCAUUUGCUGCUUCUUUGCAUUUUUGCUGAAGAUUGCACCCAAGAGAGAAGUAGUGAAAUCCACAGUGGGGAAAAUGAGCCCGGCAGUCCAUCCUGUCCUGUACCUACCAGAAUAUGGGAAGAGACCUAGUACAAAGCCAGAGUGCAGCUGGGCUUACAGUCUUUUUAACCAUAUUAAGUCCUGUUCACAGUUAAUGAUGAGCUCAGUGAGAUGGUCUCAGCAAUGCUGAAGAAGGGAAGGAUAAAAUUGGAAGGCAGGAGCUAUUUCAAAGCAGGAUUCUUCAUCUUUCUGUAAUGCCCAAACAUGAAGACUUUAUAAACUUCAUUAGAUCCUGCCAUCAAUGACUGAGCUUCCCUGAAAUCUUCUUAUCAGUUACUGCCAAGAUGAGGAGGAUAACAGGAAGGAAGAGUUCUUAAGUGGCUUUAAUGACAGUUAAUUUCAUCUAUUUAUCAAAUGACAGGUUGUUUUUUCCUCAAAACUCGAUUGUCAUGACAAGAUGCUUUUGGAAGUAAUUUUUGUAAAAUAAAACUGACAAUUUUUAGGCUACAAAGAGCUAUUAUGUCUUUCUAUAGAAUGUUGUCAUUAUGGCAAACUGCUGGAAAUUCUUUAUUUUUUAAGUAAUUUGAUUUGCAUAUUUUGUUAAUUUAUUUGAAUGUCUGUUGAAUGCCAUUUGAAAAGUUUCUUCCUAGAGUUCUUUUAUUCAAUGGAGUAGUUAUUGUAACAAUGCUCAAUUUAUUAUUGUCUAAAUUACUGUUGCCCUAGCCUCCUGCAAAAAUGUUUCUUUUUAGUAAUUCUUAAACAAAUAAGAAAUGAAUGAGGUUUUGUCCCCUUUGUGUUUUGACCAGCAUAAUUUGUCUUUAAGUGAAAGUGUCUUCAGUUUUUGGAAUGACACAACACAAAGAAAGGUGUUUUGGUUUUUGGGGGUUUUUUCCCAACAGCACAUGUCUUUUGUUCAAUGAUUUUUUAAUAUGUACAUUGCCAAGAUACAGUUACUGGAAGGAGAGAGAGAAGCUGUUGGGAAUGUCAUGUUAUGCCAAAUUAAGAAUUAUUAGCUCUUAGUUUCUGUGCAAUCUCUUCGACUAGAACUCGACCUAUUGCGUCUGGCAUAUACUUUGACUCUAGUGGAACUAAUGUGUCCUUGGAGUAGCAUUUCAGAGUAACUUCAGAUUCAUGGUUUUUUCACAAGUCUGCUUUAAACUGCUGGGAUUAACUUCAGAGAAGGCGAGAGAUACAGGCUCCUUUGUCAGCAGCUGUGCUGGGUAGAGAAGGAGGCUUCAUGCACUCUUGCUUGCUCGUUCUCUCCCUGCUGGGGAAGCAAACUGAGCUGUUUCCCUGAGCACACCCAGACUUGCUUCAGCCAGAGUUAAUGGUGUUAUCAAAUACUAGUUAUCCAGCACCCUGGGUCACGUUGGUGAAAGGACAGGGCAUGCACAGACCAGCUUUGCAGAUGUCAUGUCUGGGAAGGGUGGUGUGUUGACAAGAGUGUUGCUGAGGACUGGCCCUGGUGUGUUGCAGUUUCAGCAGGUGCAGUUACAUCUCUGGGAUGUGGUAGAAAUUGGAUGUGUUAGAAAGCUGUGCGGAUCUGUCAUGCGUAAUAUUCACAUUCCAGGGACAUCCUGGAAAUUGCAAAAUAAACCUGUGCUCUUUGACUUACUCCUUGUGUGUGCCAGUGUGAGGGGAGAGAACUGGUGUGUGUGUACAUGGCAGACACCUAUUUCAGGAAAAUGUAUCUAGUCACAAUGUGGGAAUGGUACAAGUGUUUCCAUUAUCUAGAGAACACACUUUUUACUUUACUCACCAAAGAGGCUGCCUCAGCCACCACAUGCCUCAGGAGAACUGCUUUUGACACAUGAGAGCUACCUUGAGUGGAGAAGGGGGAGCAGCUCUAGCAGGAGUGGCUGCUGUUGCUUCUCUACAGUGUUGAAUCAGUACAUGCUGGAGUCUAGUGAGGCAUCCAAGCUCUUGAUAUUCCCUGUGCCAAAGUUAGAAUGGUAUGGCUAGUCUUUAGUACUCAAAGACAUACUGAGAAAAAGCAAAUGAGCAACUCCUUCAACACUGUAGGUGCCUUCCUGGAGCUGGCUUGGGCAUACAAAGAACAAGAGGCUUUCUGAUCUGUCUGAAACCUGAGAGCAGCAGCACUGCUUGCAUCUCCUCUGGGGGCACUGCCAGGUGAAGAGCACAGUCACAGAAAGGACUGAGCCUCCAGCUCAGGUUGUGUCAUCCAUUAUCUUCUAUUUGUCCUUAAGGUAAAGGAUGAGGAAUAUGCAGUGGCCAUACUGUACAUAUGGAAGGGAGGAAAAUAAUGUGCCAUGUCUGUAAGGAAGGGGCAGGUGUGGCUCCAGCUGUGGGAGCUGUGCCCCAUUCCAGCAGCCAGGGUUGAGCCAUGGCUGAGCUCUCAGUGCUGGGUUCAGGAUUGAUGUGCCUCCCUCAAACGACUCACUUGUCUCCCCUGACCAUGAACUAAGUGCAAAUGAGCCUCCACAGCUCUCUGAGACAGCCCAUAAUUCAUACAACUCUUUUUAUCUUCAAAUGGACUAUUGUAGUACCGAGAAUGAGAUGUUUAAUAAAAUACUUGUGAUUACCUAGGAAUCUAUCUACCUGCCUAAGUGGUAGUACACAGUAAAACCAGAACUGCAAAAUAACAUCUUACAUAGAGCACUGUCAUGGAUGUUAAGCUGAUGAGUAAAAUUUUGCAUCCAAGUGCUAAAAAGACAACAAAAUAAAACUCCAGGGAAGGCAGGUUUUCCUCUUAUAAAUAUUCCAAAUAAUAGGCUGGUUUCAAGUAGACUUCCUGGCUCUUUGGUGAUUGCUGCAUUCAGUCUGAAUCUCUCAGGAAUCCCAAUCAUAAUGGUGUGUUUAUUAUUAUAAACACAUGAUUUCUAUAUAUGUUCUCCACAAAUAUGUCAGACAAAACAGAGUUUAACUUCUUAACUAGCACUAUAUGGUUAUUUUCUAACUCCUUUAAUUUCAGUUCUGACUUGACUGAAUAAAAGGUGCAUUCCUGAAAAUAAUCUUUACAUCUGUAAGGUGACACUUGACUUCAUAUGACUGUUUGCAUACUGCAGACAUAGCACAGCAUUUUUGAAGCAAUAUGUGUUGACAAUACACAGAGAUAAAAAUCAGUUUAUGACAAACUAAGGAGCAAACUUUUAAUAAGACUGAUGAAUCAGUAGAAAUUAUUAGAAAGGGAAUGUUAGAUUUUCUAUCAUUUGAAUGAGGAUGAAAUAUUUUUAUAGAGGUAUAUGCUAGAACAAAUGGCUGGGUGUGGUAGAAGAAUUCCUCACAGUCUUCUGUGGCUUUUGCAACUCCUGGGGUCAGACUGGGUCACUGUAGACAUCCUUGGGAGUGAGAAAUCUCAGUGUAGCAAAUAUCUGUAGAAUAGCAGCUUCCACUGAAAAGUUACUCAAAGUUAAUUAAGCUUAUCUUCAAAAAAGGAUUGGGAGGGGAUUUGGGCAUGUUCCUGUUGCCUAGUGCCAUGCCUUUUUCAAAGAUCCUCUUUCACCUGAGCACUUGCUCCUGUAGAGCAAGGUGGCUUAGGUGGGUUUCUCUGGUUCAUCCAUCCUCCCUCCCUCCAUCCACAUGAAUUAAACAGCACAUGAGCAUCUUUUUCCAGAGCAAAUGUCUUCUACAAAGUGUCGACUUCUACAAAGUGUAAUAUUGCCCUUCUGCUAGAGAUAAUUAUUAGGUUGAAAAUAAUCUGACAACAUCCUGCUGUGGAUAAAUUAGGUUUGUUCUCUACUAAGAUUAGUUAACUGGCACCCAUUCACUAACACAUUACAAGAAAAUGAUUGCAAGCUGAUUGUAUCCAGUUAUCUGCCUUUUUUAUUUUUAAGGGGCUUUUGUUGCCAUGCUGUUGCCAAAUGCGUGCAAAUCAUACUUUUCCAAGUAUCCUACAGCCUGGGGAGAUGGUGCUUGCUGUCCUGUACCAUGAAAAGACUUGUGGGCAGAAGUGUUUGGAGAAGGGGAGGGGUUGUCUCCAUGCAGAUUUCUGAAUCAUGUGCACCUUUGAUUUUGGCCAACAGGGGUGUGUUCUGCUCUAUGGCAAUCAAUACAUUACCACCAAAGUCCAAAAUGCCAGGUAUAAUUAGCUCAUAUGUUUAAAUAAGUGUUGUUAUUUUUAAGCUUGUAUAUGCAAGCCUGUUUUCAUACAGAAGUAAAUAUUUUACUUGGGAAGAAUGCUGUGCAAAUCAGAAAAAGCAGAAAAAUUGUUUAAAGUUAUGUACUACUGUUUAAGAUUUUAAAAAUAACUGUGAGAUCUUUAUUUCUUUGUUUACGAUUGAUUAGGGUUAGAGUUUUAGAAGCUUAAUGCUGACUCUAAGUGCUUUACAGUCAGUCACUGAGAAAUAUGGACUUGGCACAACUCACUUUUCUGUCCUUCAGUAUAUCCAUUAUUGUUAGAUGCUGAGUGGUCAUUGCACAUAAAUGACUGGUUUUUGGGUAUUUUACAUUUUUACAUGUUCGGAAAAAUACUUUGUCAAAGCAGCUGCUGGGUGAAUGUAGUAAUUAAAGAACUGUACUGCUUUUAUUGAAUCUGACAUAUGCUGCACAUUCCUUAAAACUCAGUAUGUGAGCAGAAUGUUUCCAGGAUUUAUUGAUGGCAGACGUCUAGAGAUACUGGGGAGCUUUUAAUAGUAGUAAAGAUAACUUGCAAGUUUUAUGCUGUUAUAUAAAUCUGUCUUUAAGAAGAGAGCUGUUAUUGCAAUACAUUGCUCAUGUUCUCCAUAUUUUGUCUGUGUGUAUGUUUUAUGUAUGUACUUGUACACCUACACACAAAUGCUUGACCUGAGCACUUUUAUUUGACAGUGAUUUUAUAUUCUAUUUAGUAUUUAUUUGGGAAAAAAAUAGUGUUCUAAUGCUGACUGAGAAUAUCAAUUUGCUUGGUACCAAAAGUAAUCUGCAGUAUAGUGUGGGGGUUUAAAAUUUGUUUUUUUUUUAUUUAAACUGAAAUACAGCCCUGCUUAGUUUGAAUUACAGCUCUUAUGGUGUGAGUGUCAUGGUAGCAAGCAAGGAAUCUUACUCAGCAUAAACUGAGGCUGGGUUUCAGUUUAACUAGUGUGAUGAGUGCAAUGUUCCACAUGUGUGAUACUUUUGCAAGUUCUGAAAAAAUAGACUUGUUUACCUAUCAUCCCUAUUUUGUAUAAUUUCAGAACAGAAUGUUGUCAUUGCUGUUAAAUUACUUGGCUAAAACUAGCAAACUUUCACCUGUAUAUUUUGUAAAGUUUAGACCUUAAGCACUUUUCAAGCAGGAAGUUUGACUUAUCAUUGUUGCACACUGUAAAAUAAAAUACAAUAUUAAAAUA